This 309-nucleotide ribosomal RNA is filed under the name uncultured archaeon. Its description in RNAcentral is "bacterial SSU rRNA". It matches the Rfam family "Archaeal small subunit ribosomal RNA", at positions 526 to 834 of the family's 1478-position model. The record is from RNAcentral.
UGGCCAACCAAGUCCAUCGGGAAAUCCACCUGCCCAACAGGUGGGCGUCCGGUGGAAACUGGCUGGCUUGGAACCGGAAGGCUCAGAGAGUACGUCCGGGGUAGGAGUGAAAUCCCGUAAUCCCGGACGGACUACCGAUGGCGAAAGCACUCUGAGAAGACGGCUUCGACAGUGAGGGACGAAAGCUCGGGUCUCAAACCGGAUUAGAUACCCGGGUAGUCCGAGCUGUAAACGAUGCUCGUUAGGUGUGGCACCCACUACGAGUGGGUGCUGUGCCGUAGGGAAGCCGCUAAACGAGCCGCCUGGGAA